This 764-nucleotide long non-coding RNA is filed under the name Nicotiana tabacum (common tobacco). RNAcentral describes it as "long non-coding RNA (NTAB_LNC013634)". The record is from RNAcentral. Lineage: Eukaryota; Viridiplantae; Streptophyta; Magnoliopsida; Solanales; Solanaceae.
GAAAGAUCAUUUUAAUUGUUUCAUAAGAUAGUAGUUAAUAGUAGAAAUGGCUCUCAGAACAUUGGUAUUAACCAUUGCAAUAAUGGCUUUGUUAUCUUCAAUGAGCCAUGCAUUUGAUCCUAGUCCUUUGCAGGAUAUUUGUGUUGCUGUUGACGACUCCAUGGCUGCUGGUAUAUGAUCAAAUAAUUAUUUUGAAUGCAAAAAUCAAUCUGGUCUUAGCAAUUUUUAUGAAUAUUUGUGUGCUUCUCUCCUAUCCUUUUUGUUUGUUUUUUUUAAUUAUUGAAACUUCCUCUGCAGUUUUUGUGAACGGAAAAAUUUGCAAGGAUCCAAAGCAGGUUAUGGCAAAUGAUUUCUUUAAAUCAGGUCUAAACAUACCUGGAAAUACCUCAAAUCAACUUGGAUCUGUUGUAACUGCUGUGAACGUUGGCAACUUACCUGGACUCAACACUCUGGGCAUUUCUUUAGCGCGCAUUGAUUAUGCACCAUAUGGUCUCAACCCACCUCAUACACAUCCUCGAGGAACUGAGAUUCUAGCUGUUCUUGAGGGCACACUCUACGUUGGCUUUGUCCUUUCAAACCCUGGUCCAAAUAUGAAGAACAAGCUCUUUACCAAGAUUUUAAAUCCUGGAGAUGUGUUCGUUUUCCCAAUAGGUCUCAUUCAUUUUCAGUUUAAUGUUGGAAAGACUAAUGCUGUUGCAUUUGCUGGACUCAGUAGUCAAAAUCCAGGAGUCAUCACUAUCGCAAAUGCAGUAUUUGGUUCAGAC